AGGCCUUAGGGUUGUAAAAUUCUUUUAGUGGAGAAGAUAAUGACGGUAUCCACAGAAAAAGUCCCGGCUAACUUCGUGCCAGCAGCCGCGGUAAUACGAAGGGGGCAAGCGUUACUCGGGAUUAUUGGGCAUAAAGCGUGCGUAGGCGGUUUUAUAAGUUGAAAGUGAAAGCCUUUGGCUCAACCAAAGAAUUGCUUACAGAACUGUAAAACUAGAGUAUUAGAGAGGAUAGAAGAAUUCCUGAUGUAGGGGUGAAAUCCGUAGAUAUCAGGAGGAAUAUCGAAGGCGAAAGCAUCUGUCUGGCUAAAUACUGACGCUGUUGCACGAAAGCGUGGGGAGCAAACAGGAUUAGAUACCCUGGUAGUCCACGCAGUAAACGAUGAGUGCUAGAUGUUAGUACUAUGUUUUAGCGUCGAAGCUAACGCAUUAAGCACUCCGCCUGGGAACUAC
This 450-nucleotide ribosomal RNA is filed under the name uncultured Alphaproteobacteria bacterium. RNAcentral's name for it is "bacterial SSU rRNA". It matches the Rfam family "Bacterial small subunit ribosomal RNA", at positions 412 to 883 of the family's 1533-position model. The record is from RNAcentral. Lineage: Bacteria; Pseudomonadati; Pseudomonadota; Alphaproteobacteria.